UACGAAGGGUGCAAACGUUGCUCGGAAUUAUUGGGCGUAAAGCGCACGUAGGCGGCUCUGUAAGUUGGAUGUGAAAUCCCUCGGCUCAACCAAGGAAGUGCAUUCAAAACUGCAGGGCUUGAGUACUUAAGAGGAUCGCGGAAUUCCCGGUGUAGAGGUGAAAUUCGUAGAUAUCGGGAGGAACACCAGUGGCGAAGGCGGCGAUCUGGGAAGAUACUGACGCUGAGGUGCGAAAGCGUGGGGAGCAAACAGG
RNAcentral lists this ribosomal RNA (253 nucleotides) under uncultured bacterium. RNAcentral describes it as "partial 16S ribosomal RNA". It matches the Rfam family "Bacterial small subunit ribosomal RNA", at positions 524 to 776 of the family's 1533-position model. The record is from RNAcentral.